This 463-nucleotide ribosomal RNA is filed under the name uncultured bacterium. RNAcentral describes it as "partial 16S ribosomal RNA". It matches the Rfam family "Bacterial small subunit ribosomal RNA", at positions 28 to 506 of the family's 1533-position model. The record is from RNAcentral.
GACGAACGCUGGCGGCGUGCUAACACAUGCAAGUCGAACGGUGAACUCCGCUUGCGGGGGGAUCAGUGGCGAACGGGUGAGUAACACGUGGGCAACCUGCCCUCAGCUCUGGGAUAACUCCAAGAAAUUGGGGCUAAUACCGGAUAUGACCGCUGACCGCAUGGUCUGGUGGUGGAAAGAUUUAUCGGCUGGGGAUGGGCCCGCGGCCUAUCAGCUUGUUGGUGGGGUAGUGGCCUACCAAGGCGACGACGGGUAGCCGGCCUGAGAGGGUGACCGGCCACACGGGGACUGAGACACGGCCCAGACUCCUACGGGAGGCAGCAGUGGGGAAUAUUGCGCAAUGGGCGAAAGCCUGACGCAGCGACGCCGCGUGGGGGAUGACGGCCUUCGGGUUGUAAACCUCUUUCAGCAGGGACGAAGCGAAAGUGACGGUACCUGCAGAAGAAGCACCGGCCAACUACGU